AUGAACGCUGGCGGCGUGCCUAAUACAUGCAAGUCGAGCGAACGGACGAGAAGCUUGCUUCUCUGAUGUUAGCGGCGGACGGGUGAGUAGCACGUGGAUAACCUACCUAUAAGACUGGGAUAACUUCGGGAAACCGGAGCUAAUACCGGAUGAUAUUUUGAACCGCAUGGUUCAAAAGUGAAAGACGGUCUUGCUGUCACUUAUAGAUGGAUCCGCGCUGCAUUAGCUAGUUGGUAAGGUAACGGCUUACCAAGGCAACGAUGCAUAGCCGACCUGAGAGGGUGAUCGGCCACACUGGAACUGAGACACGGUCCAGACUCCUACGGGAGGCAGCAGUAGGGAAUCUUCCGCAAUGGGCGAAAGCCUGACGGAGCAACGCCGCGUGAGUGAUGAAGGCCUUCGGAUCGUAAAACUCUGUUAUUAGGGAAGAACAUAUGUGUAAGUAACUGUGCACAUCUUGACGGUACCUAAUCAGAAAGCCACGGCUAACUACGUG
Molecule: ribosomal RNA, 496 nt
Filed under: uncultured bacterium
Lineage: Bacteria
Description: partial 16S ribosomal RNA
Rfam family: Bacterial small subunit ribosomal RNA
Source: RNAcentral